This 399-nucleotide ribosomal RNA is filed under the name uncultured bacterium. RNAcentral describes it as "bacterial SSU rRNA". It matches the Rfam family "Bacterial small subunit ribosomal RNA", at positions 359 to 775 of the family's 1533-position model. The record is from RNAcentral.
GAAUAUUGGACAAUGGGCGAAAGCCUGAUCCAGCCAUGCCGCGUGAGUGAUGAAGGCCUUAGGGUUGUAAAGCUCUUUUGGCGGGGACGAUAAUGACGGUACCCGCAGAAUAAGUCCCGGCUAACUUCGUGCCAGCAGCCGCGGUAAUACGAAGGGGACUAGCGUUGUUCGGAAUCACUGGGCGUAAAGCGCACGUAGGUGGAUUUGUAAGUCAGGGGUGAAAUCCCGGGGCUCAACCUCGGAACUGCCUUUGAUACUGCGGAUCUUGAGUCCGAUAGAGGUGGGUGGAAUUCCUAGUGUAGAGGUGAAAUUCGUAGAUAUUAGGAAGAACACCGGUGGCGAAGGCGGCCCACUGGAUCGGUACUGACACUGAGGUGCGAAAGCGUGGGGAGCAAACAG